RNAcentral lists this long non-coding RNA (249 nucleotides) under Paramuricea clavata. Lineage: Eukaryota; Metazoa; Cnidaria; Anthozoa; Malacalcyonacea; Plexauridae. The record is from RNAcentral.
AAAAAAAAAUAUGUGGGUUUCCCGACCCUACCUAGCUUUUGGACGUCGAAAUCCCGACCCUAAACUUUUUUAUUGGAUCAUGCUUGUAAGUGUUUCCACUUAGAGGAAAAAGUUUGUGGAAAAUUGAAAUUUGAGGCAAUAUUAGGGAAAUUUAUCUUUGGAAGUGGAAGCACUGACUAAACAAAAUGGCGUCCGCUUGUUCGGAAAAUUAAAAAAAAGUUUAAAAAAAAAAGUUAAAACCGACCUACC